This 478-nucleotide ribosomal RNA is filed under the name uncultured Streptococcus sp. RNAcentral describes it as "bacterial SSU rRNA". It matches the Rfam family "Bacterial small subunit ribosomal RNA", at positions 900 to 1382 of the family's 1533-position model. Lineage: Bacteria; Bacillati; Bacillota; Bacilli; Lactobacillales; Streptococcaceae. The record is from RNAcentral.
CUUAAAUGAAUUGACGGGGCCGCACAAGCGGUGGAGCAUGUGGUUAAUUCGAAGCAACGCGAAGAACCUUACCAGGUCUUGACAUCCCUGACAACCCGAGAGAUCGGGCGUUCCCCUUCGGGGGACAGGGUGACAGGUGGUGCAUGGUUGUCAUCAGCUCGUGUCGUGAGAUGUUGGGUUAAGUCCCGCAACGAGCGCAACCCCUAUUGUUAGUUGCCAUCAUUCAGUUGGGCACUCUAGCGAGACUGCCGGUAAUAAACCGGAGGAAGGUGGGAUGACGUCAAAUCAUCAUGCCCCUUAUGACCUGGGCUACACACGUGCUACAAUGGUUGGUACAACGAGUUGCGAGUCGGUGGCGGCGAGCUAAUCUCUUAAAGCCAAUCUCAGUUCGGAUUGUAGGCUGCAACUCGCCUACAUGAAGUCGGAAUCGCUAGUAAUCGCGGAUCAGCACGCCGCGGUGAAUACGUUCCCGGGCCUU